This is a non-coding RNA of Caerostris darwini, 102 nucleotides long. NCBI's taxonomy places the organism in Eukaryota, Metazoa, Arthropoda, Arachnida, Araneae, Araneidae. The record is from the annotation of a GenBank genome assembly.
AACGGCCAUACCAUGCUGAAUAUACCGGUUCUCGUUAGAUCACCGAAGUCGGGCGCGGUCAGUACUUGGGUGGGUGACCACCUGGGAACACCGCGUGCCGUU